AACGAACGCUGGCGGCAUGCCUAACACAUGCGAGUCGAACGAGACCUUCGUGUCUAGUUGCGCACGGGGGCGUAACGCGUGGGAACCUUCCCUUAGGUUCGGGAUUACUCCCCGAAAGGGGUGCUAAUGUCGGAUAACGUCUGCUGACCCAAGAUUUAUCGUGUUUGGAGGGGCCCGCGUUGGUUUAGCUAGGUGGGAGGGGAAAAGCCGACGAAGGCGACGAUCGAUAGCUGGUCUGAGAGGAUGAUCAGCCACACUGGGAGUGAGACGCGGCCGAGACUCCUACGGGAGGGAGCAGUGGGGAAUAUUGGAAAAGGGGGGGAGGGCUGAUGCAGCAAGGCCGGGUGAGUGAUGAAGGCGGUAGGGUUGUAAAGCUCUUUUAGCCGGGAUGAUAAUGACGGUACCGGGAGAAUAAGCGCCGGCUAACUCCGUG
RNAcentral lists this ribosomal RNA (433 nucleotides) under uncultured bacterium. Its description in RNAcentral is "partial 16S ribosomal RNA". It matches the Rfam family "Bacterial small subunit ribosomal RNA", at positions 28 to 507 of the family's 1533-position model. The record is from RNAcentral.